This 119-nucleotide ribosomal RNA is filed under the name Lepisosteus oculatus (spotted gar). The record is from RNAcentral. Lineage: Eukaryota; Metazoa; Chordata; Actinopteri; Semionotiformes; Lepisosteidae.
AAAGGUAGUCAUAUCACCCUGAAACUCACAAUUACCAGCCCACUGAAGCUAAGCAGGUGUGAGCCUGGUCAGUACCUAGCUGAGAGACCUCCUGGGAAAAACUAAGGUUGCUGCUGGAA